RNAcentral lists this ribosomal RNA (492 nucleotides) under uncultured bacterium. Its description in RNAcentral is "partial 16S ribosomal RNA". It matches the Rfam family "Bacterial small subunit ribosomal RNA", at positions 29 to 507 of the family's 1533-position model. The record is from RNAcentral.
AGUGAACGCUGGCGGUAGGCCUAACACAUGCAAGUCGAACGGCAGCACAGUAAGAGCUUGCUCUUACGGGUGGCGAGUGGCGGACGGGUGAGGAAUACAUCGGAAUCUACUUUUUCGUGGGGGAUAACGUAGGGAAACUUACGCUAAUACCGCAUACGACCUACGGGUGAAAGCAGGGGAUCUUCGCACCUUGCGCGAUUGAAUGAGCCGAUGUCGGAUUAGCUAGUUGGCGGGGUAAAGGCCCACCAAGGCGACGAUCCGUAGCUGGUCUGAGAGGAUGAUCAGCCACACUGGAACUGAGACACGGUCCAGACUCCUACGGGAGGCAGCAGUGGGGAAUAUUGGACAAUGGGCGCAAGCCUGGUCCAGCCAUACCGCGUGGGUGAAGAAGGCCUUCGGGUUGUAAAGCCCUUUUGUUGGGAAAGAAAAGCAGCAGGUUAAUACCCCGCUGUUCUGACGGUACCCAAAGAAUAAGCACCGGCUAACUUCGUG